This 253-nucleotide ribosomal RNA is filed under the name uncultured bacterium. RNAcentral describes it as "partial 16S ribosomal RNA". It matches the Rfam family "Bacterial small subunit ribosomal RNA", at positions 524 to 776 of the family's 1533-position model. The record is from RNAcentral.
UACGUAGGGUGCGAGCGUUGUCCGGAAUUAUUGGGCGUAAAGAGCUCGUAGGCGGUCUGUUGCGUCGGGAGUGAAAACUCAGGGCUUAACCCUGAGCCUGCUUCCGAUACGGGCAGACUAGAGGUAUGCAGGGGAGAACGGAAUUCCUGGUGUAGCGGUGAAAUGCGCAGAUAUCAGGAGGAACACCGGUGGCGAAGGCGGUUCUCUGGGCAUUACCUGACGCUGAGGAGCGAAAGUGUGGGGAGCGAACAGG